Molecule: non-coding RNA, 30 nt
Filed under: Cricetulus griseus (Chinese hamster)
Lineage: Eukaryota; Metazoa; Chordata; Mammalia; Rodentia; Cricetidae
Source: RNAcentral
ACGCACGCCCAUGAACACUGAUAGCAAUUG